RNAcentral lists this ribosomal RNA (525 nucleotides) under uncultured bacterium. RNAcentral's name for it is "partial 16S ribosomal RNA". It matches the Rfam family "Bacterial small subunit ribosomal RNA", at positions 355 to 896 of the family's 1533-position model. The record is from RNAcentral.
UGGGGAAUAUUGGACAAUGGGGGCAACCCUGAUCCAGCAAUGCCGCGUGUGUGAAGAAGGUCUUCGGAUUGUAAAGCACUUUCGACGGGGACGAUGAUGACGGUACCCGUAGAAGAAGCCCCGGCUAACUUCGUGCCAGCAGCCGCGGUAAUACGAAGGGGGCUAGCGUUGCUCGGAAUGACUGGGCGUAAAGGGCGUGUAGGCGGUUUACACAGUCAGAUGUGAAAUCCCCGGGCUUAACCUGGGAGCUGCAUUUGAUACGUGUAGACUAGAGUGUGAGAGAGGGUUGUGGAAUUCCCAGUGUAGAGGUGAAAUUCGUAGAUAUUGGGAAGAACACCGGUGGCGAAGGCGGCAACCUGGCUCAUGACUGACGCUGAGGCGCGAAAGCGUGGGGAGCAAACAGGAUUAGAUACCCUGGUAGUCCACGCUGUAAACGAUGUGUGCUAGAUGUUGGGUAACUUUGUUAUUCAGUGUCGCAGUUAACGCGUUAAAGCACACCGCCUGGGGAGUACGGCUGCAAGGUUG